RNAcentral lists this ribosomal RNA (253 nucleotides) under uncultured bacterium. RNAcentral's name for it is "partial 16S ribosomal RNA". It matches the Rfam family "Bacterial small subunit ribosomal RNA", at positions 524 to 776 of the family's 1533-position model. The record is from RNAcentral.
UACGUAGGCAGCGAGCGUUGUUCGGAAUUACUGGGCGUAAAGAGUGUGUAGGCGGUGCUCCCAGUCUGUUGUGAAAUCUCCCGGCUUAACUGGGAGGGUGCAGCGGAAACUAGAGUGCUAGAGGGUGGGAGAGGUAAGCGGAAUUCCUGGUGUAGCGGUGAAAUGCGUAGAUAUCAGGAGGGACACCUGUGGUGUAGACAGCUUACUGGACCACUUCUGACGCUGAGACACGAAAGCGUGGGUAGCAAACAGG